UACAGAGGUCUCAAGCGUUGUUCGGAUUCAUUGGGCGUAAAGGGUGCGUAGGCGGCGCGGUAAGUCGGGUGUGAAAUCUCGGAGCUUAACUCCGAAACUGCAUUCGAUACUGCCGUGCUUGAGGACUGGAGAGGAGACUGGAAUUUACGGUGUAGCGGUGAAAUGCGUAGAUAUCGAGAGGAACACCAGUGGCGAAGGCGAGUCCCUGGACAACACCUGACACUGAGGCACGAAAGCCGGGGGAGCAAACAGG
Molecule: ribosomal RNA, 253 nt
Filed under: uncultured bacterium
Lineage: Bacteria
Description: partial 16S ribosomal RNA
Rfam family: Bacterial small subunit ribosomal RNA
Source: RNAcentral